RNAcentral lists this microRNA precursor (95 nucleotides) under Canis lupus familiaris (dog). RNAcentral's name for it is "mir-8799 microRNA precursor family". It matches the Rfam family "mir-8799 microRNA precursor family". Lineage: Eukaryota; Metazoa; Chordata; Mammalia; Carnivora; Canidae. The record is from Rfam by way of RNAcentral. RNAcentral also lists the same sequence under 1 other name.
GGGGGGUGUGCCGGAUUUUGGGCUGUAUCCCCCAGCACCCAUGGCUCCGGGGCAUGCACCGCUGGAAUCGCGCUCCCGGGGCCUCACAGCCCCCU